UCCUCCGGAUCCGGGCUUGAUAGAGCCAG
Molecule: small RNA, 29 nt
Filed under: Bombyx mori (domestic silkworm)
Lineage: Eukaryota; Metazoa; Arthropoda; Insecta; Lepidoptera; Bombycidae
Description: piRNA piR-bmo-1724515
Source: RNAcentral